AAUAGAUACCCAGGUAGUCCACGCCCUAAACGAUGUCGACUAGGUGUUGGGGAGGGAGACUUCCUUAGUACCGCAGCUAACGCGUGAAGUCGACCGCCUGGGGAGUACGGUCGCAAGAUUAAAACUCAAAGGAAUUGACGGGGACCCGCACAAGCGGUGGAUGAUGUGGAUUAAUUCGAUGCAACGCGAAAAACCUUACCUACCCUUGACAUGGUCGGAAGCCCGAUGAGAGUUGGGUGUGCCCGAAAGGGAGCCGACACACAGGUGCUGCAUGGCUGUCGUCAGCUCGUGUCGUGAGAUGUUGGGUUAAGUCCCGCAACGAGCGCAACCCUUGCCAUUAGUUGCCACAUUCAGUUGGGCACUCUAAUGGGACUGCCGGUGACAAACCGGAGGAAGGUGGGGAUGACGUCAAGUCCUCAUGGCCCUUAUGGGUAGGGCCUCACACGUCAUACAAUGGCGCAUACAGAGGGUUGCCAACCCGGCGGAGGGGGAGCCAACUCCCAUAAACUCCAUCCUCAGUUCGGUAUUGUCGUCUGCAACUC
RNAcentral lists this ribosomal RNA (542 nucleotides) under uncultured bacterium. RNAcentral's name for it is "bacterial SSU rRNA". It matches the Rfam family "Bacterial small subunit ribosomal RNA", at positions 777 to 1313 of the family's 1533-position model. The record is from RNAcentral.